UAAACAAUGUUUUAACAUUGUUUAGCUGAAUCACAGAAAAAAUCACAGUUUUCACAGAAUCAGCACAGUUUUCGUGUAAAUUACAAUUGUGGAGAACGAAUUCCCAAAUAAAGUGUUAUAGUAGAUAAGAAAAUUGUUUUCUGGCAGCCAUGCUACAAAAAGAUAGAGUGCACUCAACUAUUCCAGUUAGAACAGCAUACUGCAAAAAAUUCAUAAAUAAAUAUAUAUAAAUAUUUAUAUAUUUAAUGCAAUAAGAAUAGUCAAUAUCGUUUGACCAACUUAUGCACCAAAUGAACAAAAGAAAAAUGACGAAAUUUACUUUAGGAUUGUACUGCGUUUUUAGCAGCUAAUAUCCUGUAGAAAAAGUUAUAAGUGCCAGAAUUUAAACAGUUCCUGGAAAAGUGGUGUAACUGUUCUAUACCAGAUGAGUCUACAUUUCAAGGAAAUUACUUGUAAUACUGCUAUGAAAAGGUAAUAUCAGACAUCAAGAAUGAUUGUGAAAUUUCAGAUAUUUGAUAAAGCGUCGAUGAAAGCACGGAAAAAUGGGGACUUACAUGUCAAACUUAGUGGAAAAAUUGUCUACUUUUACAGCGUGUAAGCCACGCUUCAUCGCAUGCGGUGAGCUUGAGAAGACAAAUCAUGCAACUAUUACAUAUUUUGUAAAUGCUCUUUUGCAUAUAUUGUGGACAAAUAGCAUGAAGGAAGAGAAACUAUUAAUUUUAGUGAUAUCCUCCUUAUAUACUAAAAGCUAGAGCUCUGGGUUCUUUGUCCAAACAUGAUUAAUACCACAUGCCUGGCACAUGGAUUCCACCGAGAUGCAGCAGUUUGAAGUCGAUUAAUUGCCGCUAUGUAAAAAGUGUUCUGUGAGAUACCAUACAGAGUACGAAUCUACAGAGUCUAAUCCCUAUCUUUAUCCGAUUAUAACCUGAUGGUAAACCUAGAUAAAUGAAGGUGUUUUCUUUCAUAAAAUUUUUUUUAAUUGCAAAACAGUGAUCGACACGUUUUCAAGUGAAGACGCAUGUAGCAUUGCAAAAGCCCAAGAGAUGUUUGAAUCGAUAUCCCUUAAGAAAGACAGCUUUCAUACAAGAUCACUCUCACUGUAGUUGCGGGACGAUAACAAAGUUGAAAAUCCAGGGAUUGGAACUUUCUGAAUUUGCAAAUUCUUGCUGAUUUUACUACUUCAAUUGAGUCUCUUCUAGGGGAAAUAGGAAGUCGAACGGAACUUGGAACUAUCUGCUGUUGCAAACUUCAAGUUCUGUCACUGGCCUCUUCAGACGUUGCGAAAUCCUUUUCUGUAUAGAAAAGUAUCCUGACCAACUAAAAUCCAAUUUUAAUACACAAAAAUCUAGAGAAGAACAUUCUUAUCAAUUGCUCAUAAACAUCGCCACAUAAUACGUCCCAGUAAUCGGAAAAUUAAGAUUGUCUUAUGUAAAUUUAAUAAUGUUUUUUACUUAUAUAAAAAGUGCAUACAAAUAAAUAAGUACAGUAUAUUUAUUUAUCACUGUCGUACGUUCUUAUUUACAUAUUUUAGCUAUUUAAGCAAUAUGUUACAGUUAUUCCUUGCAUAACAAAAGAUUUGAUUAACGGGCGAAAUUAAUUCCGGUAUUCCCUUUAUAUGUGCGGAAGAAGUUUUAAUAAAUUAGCCGCGUUAGUCAAGUGAUACUGUAUAAACAUAUUUGAAUGGCUUUUAACAUAUAUAUCCGUCCCCUAUUCAUAACCUAAACCGAACAUAAAAAUCAAACUUCUCAAUUAAAUAAAAUUUAUUUAUUUAUAACAGUUUUGUUUUGUAUUAAGAUCGGUUAGAUUAAAUUUUAAUUUAUAUAAUUUUACAUUUAAAAACUUUCACCUACAGUACGAUAUCUUCAAAAUUCCUGGCAUUCAAGGUGAAUAUCAUCACUAAAUAAGAUGCUAUAUUUCUUUGUACUAAUUAUCCAAUAGUAAUUAAUGUUUCAUUUUUACA
Molecule: long non-coding RNA, 1960 nt
Filed under: Centruroides sculpturatus (bark scorpion)
Lineage: Eukaryota; Metazoa; Arthropoda; Arachnida; Scorpiones; Buthidae
Description: uncharacterized LOC111628695, transcript variant X2
Source: RNAcentral